CAGUCGAGGGGCAGCAUGAACUUAGCUUGCUAAGUUUGAUGGCGACCGGCGCACGGGUGAGUAACACGUAUCCAACCUGCCGAUGACUCGGGGAUAGCCUUUCGAAAGAAAGAUUAAUACCCGAUGGCAUAAUUCUUCCGCAUGGUAGAAUUAUUAAAGAAUUUCGGUCAUCGAUGGGGAUGCGUUCCAUUAGGUUGUUGGCGGGGUAACGGCCCACCAAGCCUUCGAUGGAUAGGGGUUCUGAGAGGAAGGUCCCCCACAUUGGAACUGAGACACGGUCCAAACUCCUACGGGAGGCAGCAGUGAGGAAUAUUGGUCAAUGGACGAGAGUCUGAACCAGCCAAGUAGCGUGAAGGAUGACUGCCCUAUGGGUUGUAAACUUCUUUUAUACGGGAAUAAAGUGAGGCACGUGUGCCUUUUUGUAUGUACCGUAUGAAUAAGGAUCGGCUAACUCCGUGCCAGCAGCCGCGGUAAUACGGAGGAUCCGAGCGUUAUCCGGAUUUAUUGGGUUUAAAGGGAGCGUAGGCGGACGCUUAAGUCAGUUGUGAAAGUUUGCGGCUCAACCGUAAAAUUGCAGUUGAUACUGGGUGUCUUGAGUACAGUAGAGGCAGGCGGAAUUCGUGGUGUAGCGGUGAAAUGCUUAGAUAUCACGAAGAACUCCGAUUGCGAAGGCAGCCUGCUGGACUGUAACUGACGCUGUUGCUCGAAAGUGUGGGUAUCAAACAGGAUUAGAUACCCUGGUAGUCCACACAGUAAACGAUGAAUACUCGCUGUUUGCG
RNAcentral lists this ribosomal RNA (779 nucleotides) under uncultured bacterium. RNAcentral describes it as "bacterial SSU rRNA". It matches the Rfam family "Bacterial small subunit ribosomal RNA", at positions 59 to 828 of the family's 1533-position model. The record is from RNAcentral.